Molecule: long non-coding RNA, 6454 nt
Organism: Vidua macroura (Pin-tailed whydah)
Lineage: Eukaryota; Metazoa; Chordata; Aves; Passeriformes; Viduidae
Exons: 13
Source: RefSeq, a predicted model, not a curated record
AUACAUCUGUUUAUCUGUAUUUAGAGUUCAAUCACCAAGGUCCUACCCCAGGUAAAACUUGCACUGCACUGAUAGGGUUCUCCAGAUUGAUGUCUGUCACACUAACUUUUCCUGUGGGGCUCAGAUUAUGAGUUUUUAACCAUUUUACCCUUAGCCUCACUGCUAAGGGCCUCCAUUACUUCGGCUGCGUCCUAAAAUGGGGAGUAGACACAAGCAGAUGAGAGAAGAUUGCACAUUUUCCUCCCCUUGGAUAUUUCAGUGCUUGUUUUUAUUGCCAGAAGGACAAAAAUUUUAGCAUCUGUCUUCGGCAAAUGGAGAUUUCCAAGAACAUUGAUUUGGAACCGUAUUUUGACAUAUUUUAUUAUGACAUUUUGAUUGCACUUAAGCACUGCACUCCUGCAAGGGAACUGGUUCCUUCUCUUCCAGUCAUGAGCCUUCCUAUCACCAGUAUUGCCUGGCCUCCAAUUUUCUCUGUGGGGCUGGGAAACACCUCUCCCAGGUGGAAGAAUUGGGAUGUGUGUAACUAGGUAAUGGCAUGCACAGCUCUGCAGCAAGUUGAAGUUGUUGUGCUAAAAUCAUCUGAAUUCCCAGAUGGAAAUAUUCUAAGAAAAUGCAGUUGACAAUCAUUGUUUAUAAAACAAAAUAGAUUAUCCUGUUUAGUAUAAUAAAUUGUUCCAGUGUGGUUAAAGCAGACCCCAAUACUGAGUUUUCUGAAGAAAACUUUGGCAUUAGGAAAAUACUUUGAGAUGUCAUUUUUAGGUAAACCUUGUGUUAAUAGUGCAGAAGUUGAAUUCCCUGUCAGUGCCUGUGCCUGGCAGGGUGACCCUGUGUCCCCCAGGAAGGCUGGCUUGCUCCUGUAAUGGCUCUUUUCUCAUGAGCAGGGGGGCUCUCAUCGUGGGCAGGAGAGGCUGAGAAGCAGAAGGGCUGAGGAGAGGACACCCGGAGCACUGUGCAGCUGGGAAAGGCAAGGAAAGGGCAAUCCUGGAUCCUGGCUCCCACACCUUGCUCCCAGGUUUAGAACAUCAGAUGACUCAGCAGAUGUGAAGUGCUUCUGGAAGCCAAACAGUGGUUAUGUUACAACCCUUUGGACCACCCUGUUUGUCCAUCAUGGCUGUGCCACACUGCACUGCAGUGGUCUUCUCAUCCACAAGAGCCUGACCAUGGCCAAGGGGAUCAAGAAGCUCUGAAGAGCCUGCUCCAGGGGACACAGGGAGCCCUCAGGCCUCCGUCACCUUCCGGCCCCGACAUCCCCAGCCCAGCUGCCUUGGACAGGAGAUGAAAUGGUCCCCAGGACCUGUCCCUACUCUCCCUGGGUGCUUCUGCACCAGUAAACUCCAGAGGGCCCCUGAGUCUGGAGAUCUCGAGUGCAAUCAUCUCUUGGUAAGGAUGGCAAGGCUGGAAUGCUUCAGGGUUGUGCUGUGUCUCAGGAAGGGCUGUGACCUGGCACUCUGGGGCUGAUGGCAAGCCCGUGGUUUGCUGGGAAUGAGCUCAGUGCUCCUGCUGGGACUGGGAAUCGUGGACUGGAACUAAGAAUAACUAAAAGAAGGCAGAUAACAAACUGCCAGUUCCCCUCACUGUCAUCAACACUGAAGUACUUUGCUGAAGCAAAGUGUUAAGAAGCUGAGACUGGACAUUUAAAGACUUAAAAGCUACUGAAUUUUCUGCCCAACCUGAUGUGGGAAAAGAUGCAGAAGAUAAUGCUUGUAUCUUAAGCGUUGUGUUCUCAAGAGCUCAAGAAGAGAUGCAAAAACUCCAGAAAUACAAAUGUAAAAUGGGUGGAGAGGUUCAGUGCCCAGCUCUGCAGUAUUGCCUUGGAGAUGGCUCCUUUUGGCUUUUGUGCCUUGUUUCAUGGGGAGCCUCUCAACAGAGUGGAUUUAACUUGGUGUCUCACUGCAGGAAGGAAGGAGACACAGAAUGAAGAGGCAGGAGGUGCCUGUGCAGUUGGGAUUGUUCUCCCAAAGAGAUUUGGCUGUUCCUGCAGGCUGCAGGUGGAAGGAGGCACUAACAGCAUCUGGAAGAGUGAAGCUGGCAGCGUGUGAAACACAGGCAGUACCCUAAAGCUCCUCCAUCCCUACCGUGGCUUAAAGUGCUGGAGGAAAUGAGCAUCAUCUGCAGCAGAGUCCUUUGGUUUUACCGCAGCUGCUGACACCUUCUAAUCUCCCUCAGAAUGGUGAGGCUGACGAGUGACAUUCCACAUGCAGCUGGCUGCUUUGUGGCUCACCUUGGGGCUCCCAGCUUUCCAGAGAUCAUCACUUCCUCUGUGCUGAGGCUCCUGAUUCGGGCAGCACUCGGUGUCUGACGGCUGCAGCCCAGGAUGGUCCCCUCCUACCUCGGGCAGAUAUUCCACAGAGACCUGCCAAAGGAAAGCCUUGCACCUGUCAGUAACUUGUGAAAAGCGAUUCCUCAUUUCUGAGAUCCCUGCCAGGAAUGGGAGAUUUAGCAAGAGUUUCUACAUUCCUCAGACAAUCAGAAAAUGCCCCAAGCCCCUUCUGCAAUCACUCGUCAGAGAGAGAAAUGCUUUGACAGCGAGUGCACUCUACAGGGUCCAGCCACAGUCGGACAGGAGGAGUCUCCUCCUCCUCCCAUCUUCCUUUUCUUUUCAAACCUGUCCCUGUCUCCUCAUCUCUGGGAGUCAGGCACCCACAUUCCUUCAUGCACAGUGAAGGAAGAAAGCAGAGGAAGAUCUGGCUCCCAGUCCCUCCACAGGCAGAGUCUGAGUCAUUUACAUGAGGAAUUCAGUGAGCAGAGAUCUUCACUUUCAUCAGAUCUGUCUUUUCAGAAACAAGCUGGCACUCUGGGCACCAAAACAGAUCAUCACAGGAGCUACCACAAAGAAUACUGUUCUGCCAAAGCUGCAGGCAGGAGUCUGUCAGGGAGAAUGAGGGAGCAAGAAGAGCGGAGUUCUAACAGACAGAGGCGGAAGGAAGGAAGAAUGAAAAGUGUAAGAAAGUGGAAGAGACUUCAAGGGACACAACACUGCUUAAUGGGGCAGAAACUGAGAGACAAGUGAAGUGCAGUGCAGGGUGACUGGCAUUCUUCCAAGGUAAUUUGUAAAAGGGGAAAAGGUGUAGCUGAAAUGCUUUGAUUUGCCUUUUUCUCACUCUGCCCAUGCACUUGUGUGUUCAUUUCGUGUAGUAACCUCUACUAAACAGUCAGAGGCUGCAGCAUCAUUCUGAUGACCUGAAAUUAAGGCAAAAAGCUGCAGUUCUGGAAUUUGGAGCUCGUAGUACCUAACUGGCUGAAGGGCAAAAUAAAGAAGUAAAGAUCAAUGACAACUUUUCGUGUCACAUGAAAAGUCAAGGCUCAUGCAUCAGGGAACUUCAAAACAAUGAGAUUCAUCUAAGUUCAGCCUAUGUCUCAAUCCUAAAAUUGUAUUAAACUCCCUGUUUCUAAUUCUUAUUCAGUGGAGCUUAGAUGAACCUCAGAGUUUAGGUGUUCCCACGAUAGGAGUUAUGGGAAUUGAUUUCUUUGCAACGUGAAGUGCCAAAAAUGGGAAAUAGUGGCAGUUCUGGGGGCUCUUUCUGCUUUCUUUCCUUUUUAUUCUUGUCAUCCUGUCUUCCUGUUUAUUCUGCCAUCCAGCAUGGCAGAAAUGCAAUCGAAAUGAGCAGCAGGAAGGCGACCUCCAUUAACUUAGCAAGUGAGGGGAAAGAAGUUCAUCUUUCAGGCUUUGAAGGAGCCGAUACCAGGAGAAAGACUGUGCACAAAAACUGCAACACAAAGCCAGAAGUUAUCAACUACCCUGGGAGAUGUUUUCACAAAUCAACAAAGAACACAAGCCAGGGAAAAAAAGAGCAUUGCUCUGGUCUGUGUCCCUCAGAGGAGAAACUGAAAAGCUGCGAAUACAGAGCAGGUAGGAGCUGGGUGUCAGUGGAAUGUCAGCUUCCAGCAGAACAGGAAUAACUCACAAGCCUCGGGAUGAGUCUCUGCUGCCUUGCACACUGUGCAGUGUUUCCAAAGCCCGGAAGGAGCAGAGUUUCCAGCCAGCUACAGAGCACCAUGUCAGGCCGUGCAGAAAGAGAAUUGCAGCAGAAAUGGGGCUUCACCAGAUCUGUCCAAGACCUAGAACUGACACUAGACAAGGCUCAACUUGAAUAAUUGUAUUAGUUCCUUCUUUGGUCCUUUCACCCCAAAUAUGUUUAGCUUGUAUUUUGCUCCAGCAUGCUUUUAUAAAUCCUCAGAGAAUCCAUCUGGGAAGCACUUACAGGAUGGAAAUGUGCUGACCUUUAGAUGUUGACAGGUGAGGUGCAUACCCUCAUGUCCGAUAUUAUUGACAGUAAUGGCAGUGCUUCCUUUUUUUUUUUUUUGGUGAACAGUGUAAUUUUUACAUGUUUGUAUGACUUCGGGCUAUAGUUAUCCUCCUAUAAAGUAGAAUAUCUAUGCCAAUGCUUUUAUUCCAGGGGUGUAGAUGCGGUACCACACAUUGAUAAGCACAUGACACCAUUUAAGCCAGUGUCUGCAACGUCACCCAUGACAAUGAGAUGCACAGUGCUCUGCAGCGUGAGGCCAUGAAUGUACCCACAGGGGCAGAAGCGCCCACGGCAGGACUGGUAAGGCAGCUCCUGUCUCCUGUGCUCAGAGGUGAUUCCUCUUCCAGACCAGCUCUGUGCUGGACCUUGCUUCUGCAGGUGUGGUGGCUGGUGCCACCUGAUGUGUGGCAGCUUUUUAGGGCGAGUCUCCUCUGAUGAGGACUGCACAGCAGCAGCAGUCAUCUCACUUAGCACUCUGACAAAAUGUAGGACUGGACUCCAAAGGUAGGAACCAGUUCUUUGUUAUUUCAUUGUCUGAAACCUUUUCUUUGGAGUGUGUUCGGGGAAGGAUGGGAGAUAGACCUUUUUACCUUUCUGCUUCUGUCUCUUUCUGUGGUACAUCAUAUCCAUCCCUUCCACAGCUGAACCAGUGGGUCUAUACUUUCUGAGAGGAACUCAACAGAAAUAUUUUGCAAUCUUUUGUCCCCCUAGAAGCAGCAGCAGGUUUUGGAGCAAUCCCUCUGAAAACAUUUCUGUAAAGUUUUCCUUUUAGUUCUUGAUGCUGCUCAGACACAUAAGGCUGACACAAAACCCCCCUAAGUAACGUCCCCAGCCUCGGUGGAAUGGCUGCACUCUCUGAACUGCAGCCUUGCACUGUCACACCAUAAUUACAUUGCAAUUAUAGAGAUAAUUAUGGCAGGUUCUAGGCACUGGCUCUGAAUCCUCCUGCUCAGGGCUGACCCUGGCAUUUGUCUGUGUUUUGCUGUCACUGGGGCUGAGCACUCCGUGCUCCCUAAGGGACCAACGCUCCAUCUCCACAGCUCCCUGGAGCUGAGGGUGCUUGCCCACACUGAGAGAUCGGUGUGUGUGUUAUGUCUCCAGGAGCAGAUACGCUGCUGUGAUGGAAAUUUCUGUUCCAGCACACCUCCGUACAGAGAGAAAUAAAGAGAAAAAAAGGAAAAGGAGCUAAAAGCCAGAAGGCGGCAUUUCAAUGCCAGCGUGGCAGCCAAAGAGGUAAGGGAAUGAAACCCCGACAGAGGCAGCAGAGGAAGGUCACUGCUGCCAGGGACAGCAACACCUGAUGGCCACAAGCACAAAUCAAGAACUCUGCAGACAGGAGUUUUACUCUCACCCUUUGACUUUUUUUAGCACAAUUUGCAUUGCAAAUUGUCUUCAUGGCCACUGGAAGGUUGGUCAAGGGCCAGAUGGCCCUAAAGGGAGAACAGUUUAGCGUGUUCUUGCAGUGGCUGGUCAGAGGUACUGCCAGCAUUAAACCUGCUCAGAUCAGUUCUCUUUGCUGGGAUGACAGCAGCAAUCAAAGAGCCACCUGAGGAUCUCCUCCACCUGAGAUGCAAAUACCCUCUCCCUUUUCUUGUGCAAUCCUAAAGCUGGCUCAGACAUUUCCUACACGGGGCUUGGACUUUGCUUACACCUGAAUUUCCUUGCAUUUCUGUGCUGGGUGCAAACUUACAGAGGCCAGGUGAGAACAAUUUGGCUUUAGGUAAGAAGAGGCAUUUCCUAGUAACUGUGAGGAGCUGCUUCAGACACAAAACAAACACUGACUGCAUGUCUACCCCAGCAGAAAUAAAAGAGCUGACCUUAGUGGUGCUUGCCGGGGAAUGUGCCCAGAUUUACACACGAGCCACUUGCACUUCCAGCCCCUUUUGCUUCCCUAGGAAAGGCUAAUGUUGCACAAAGAGCACUCAGGUAAACUGCUGUUCCUGUUAAUGUCAGUUCUGUAGAACUGAACCACCAGUAUUCCACAUUCUGUUUCACUUCCCCACCUUUGGAGUUUUUGUUGUGCUGCACUGCGUUUAUUUUCUGGACAGACUCAAUUUUGCUGGCACAGGACAUAAAAAUAAUAAAAGAAAGCUUAUGACAGCAGAGCAGGGAACAAAUGGCACCUGUGCAUUUGUCAUUGAUCCUUGAAAAAGUAGGUGAGCCCCAGACUUACCUUUGGAUUUAUCUCUGCUGGUUGUACUCAUGGG